UUAAAUUGAAGAGUUUGAUCAUGGCUCAGAUUGAACGCUGGCGGCAGGCCUAACACAUGCAAGUCGAACGGUAACAGGAAACAGCUUGCUGUUUCGCUGACGAGUGGCGGACGGGUGAGUAAUGUCUGGGAAACUGCCUGAUGGAGGGGGAUAACUACUGGAAACGGUAGCUAAUACCGCAUAACGUCGCAAGACCAAAGAGGGGGACCUUCGGGCCUCUUGCCAUCGGAUGUGCCCAGAUGGGAUUAGCUUGUUGGUGGGGUAACGGCUCACCAAGGCGACGAUCCCUAGCUGGUCUGAGAGGAUGACCAGCCACACUGGAACUGAGACACGGUCCAGACUCCUACG
This 348-nucleotide ribosomal RNA is filed under the name Escherichia coli. Its description in RNAcentral is "bacterial SSU rRNA". It matches the Rfam family "Bacterial small subunit ribosomal RNA", at positions 1 to 343 of the family's 1533-position model. The record is from RNAcentral. Lineage: Bacteria; Pseudomonadati; Pseudomonadota; Gammaproteobacteria; Enterobacterales; Enterobacteriaceae.